This is a long non-coding RNA of Salvia miltiorrhiza (redroot sage), 866 nucleotides long. RefSeq lists it as uncharacterized. The transcript has 2 exons. The record is from RefSeq and is a predicted model, not a curated record. Lineage: Eukaryota; Viridiplantae; Streptophyta; Magnoliopsida; Lamiales; Lamiaceae.
AGCUUCCAAUACAACAGCAGAUUCCGCCAUUCCCAUAGAGCAGGCUUGGGUUCCUCCACUUGUUGACAAGCAUAGCUUUGUUUGGCUCGCCGGAUACCUAAGGGCAGAAUGUCGCUUAGCUGCUUGGAAGUUAGCCUUCAACUCUUUUUUAAUAGCUUAUUACAUCACUUCUCUUUCUGAUGAAUAAAAAUUUAUGACUGUAUGAGGUAUACCAGCUGAAACUUAUUAACUGUUAUGAGAAUUUUGUACCGAGGAUAAAGAGAUAUAGGUGGUUCUUCGGUUUGCAUAUUUAAUCUGGAAAGUUAUAUGAUUUCUGAAGGAUAUUUUCUUUGUUGGUAUGUGAUUAUAUUUACUGGUGUUGGUAUAUGAUUAUAUAUAGUUUGCAUUAUGUAGAUGGUAUUCGUUGUAUGCUGUGAUACUAGUAUUUGUAGAUGUAUCUACUUCAUCUUGUAAUGUUUCAGUUGACAAUUUUCUUGCUUAUGAUGUAGGUUUUGGAAAAUAUCAUGUAGGAUAUUAAUUCUUACGGAUUUUGUUUCUAGUUUAAUUUGUUUGAUAAUUAAUCUGAUGAGAUUAUUUAACCUCUUUACAUAUGGAAAGGUGAACUAGAGUUUUGCAGGACAAUUCUAUUUUGAGUCUCAUCAAGGUGGACUACGGUUUUGCAAGAUAUGAUGAGGUUUUUAUUGAGUCUUUGAAUUGUUGGUUUAUUAUAUGUAGACACGUUCGUUCAUUUAGAUAUAAGACUUUGAUAUAGUUGUUGAGAUAGCUCUUUACUUAGACUUGUAAAAGAGGAGAUGCUGCUCUCUUGCUCUACUUCUACAUAGUAACCUUGCUUUGAAUUAAUGGAAUGUAUUCUGAUGUUCCUUUCA